UCCAAAAACAUUUCCGCCUCUGUUUUUUGUCUUCAAAAACGGAAACAACGUCAUUGGCUGGAGCGGCGCUUCGGCCACCUCUCUCCGUUCCGAGUGCCUCUUUGGAUUUGGGUGCCCAGCGGCAACCAUGAUACGCGUGGUGAUCGUGAUGAACACCGAGGGCAAGCCCCGCCCCCUCAAGUUUUAUGACUUCCGGGUCCCCGAAAUCUCCUCCUUUUUCUCUCUUCUGCCUUGAUGUUUGCAUUCCAAUUGGAAUCGUCUCUUUAGAUUGACUGCUCUUGCAUGCUCUUCUCUUGAAGUCCAGCCCCCGGAGAAACAGCAGGAGCUCAUACGCAGCGUCUUCACAGGUCGGAAGCCUGUAAUCCCAAUAAUCUGGAAAAGAACCCUCAAUUCACCCCUCUUACUUCGUUCGUUUUAUAUCUUCGCUACAAAAUUUCCAUUAAUAUUUUUACGUCAUUAUGCCGUAGUUUUAUCGGGAAGACCGGACAAUGUUAGCAAUUUCGUCGAAGCAGAUGCAAUCUUCGGCUCAGUAAUCUUGUCCUCUCUUACUUUAUCUCUCGUUGCAGAAAGGAGGAAGCCACCAAGAGGAGAGCAUAAACGUCUAUAUGUUUGAUUUUUUGUUACAAUUGUACCUCUAAUUGCUGAAUAUAAUUCCUCCUUUUAAAGUUGGAUUUUUUAUCAGAGAAAAAUUGUUGAUGAUUUAUAGAGCUAAGGGCCCGUAAAAUUCCACAGACAAUGUUGGCCAUUGCUUAGAAAUUUUGUAGAUAGAUUGUGGCUUUGAUGUUUGCUCUCCAAGAAAAUUCCCAUCUUUCCUGCCAUCUAUCUUAUCAAUCUGGUGACUGCCACUGCCAUGGUUCAUCUUUCUUGCAGGGUACCCGGCUGGUAUACAAGCACCUCGCGACGCUGUAUUUUGUUUUUGUGUUUGAUGGUUGUGAAAACGAACUACCUAUGCUCGACCUCAGUCAAGUCCCUGUUAAGACACUGGACAGAUGCUUCAAGAAUGUCGGUGAGCUUGACAUAGUGUUUAACUUCAACAAGAAGGCCGAGACGGGCUCCACAAGAUUUCAUGUAAACUAUGUGAACGUGGAUUUCUUAUUCCCGGAUGCAUACUGUCCUAGAUGAAAUCAUAUUUGGAGGCCAGGUGCUGGAAACUAGUUCCUAGCAAGUGAUUAAAGCAGUCGAGGAAAUCUCAAGGCUAGAGAAAUCUUCCAAUUCAAUCAGCUGGGUGCCAAAGUCUGUAACCAGAAGGUUUGGCUGCUAGUCUGCUGCAAAUUUCAGGAUGUGGUUCCAGGACCAGUGCAUCACUGUGUAGGUUUCUUCAAUCUUCUGCAUUUGAGUUGAUAACAUCAACAGAUUGGGAGCUAGUUUGAGCCAUGGUGAAGGGAAACAGGAGACAUUUCACCGAGGCCAGACCGCACCUGGUAUAUUUGCUUGCAUUGCUAGGUACUAUGGAGGCUGGGCUGCCCCCUUUUAUAUGUUUACUGGGUUCGUCUGGAUUGAUUCAGUUUUUAGCAACUUCGAUACUGAUGGAUUUUCCAGAACUUAAAGGUGGUCGUGGAUCGGUCGGAUCCAAUCCAUGGUGCCAGAGUUUGAACAGGACUGUUCUUGCGUUGCCAUGGAGGAAUACGAAGGGAUCUCCUUUUCCCUUGCUUCUCUCCAUCUUCCAGCUUACGUUACUUGGAUUCCAACCUUGCCCUGCGUUUUAAGGGAAGACGGAGCGGAGCAGGUCAAAGGCCAACCCACGCCAGCCAGUAGUAGUCAUUCAUUCAGUUUACCUAUCUUCUCCACCACUCGCUCUUGCUUCCACGCCGGAGAUGCUCAAUCGAGCUUCGUGUGGCUCAGUCGUAGCCCUUUUGCCUUACAAAUGGGCAAGCGGAGACCGAGUUGGGCACCCUGUUUUGAUCACUAUUAAUGGUCUCCCACCUCGCGUGGCACCCUUCUCUCCAGUCGCCAUGAGAUCAGAUCACCAUUGCUUUGCAGUGUAGCACGCCACCUUGUUCAAUGGGUUUGAAUUCGCAUGUUUCUUGCCCCAUCUUGAGGUGGCGGUGGAGAGAUAGUGGUCUUCUUUUUCACCGAUGCAACAGCCAACGCCACCUCCGGGCUCCAGCUCAAGUCUUCCAAAAGAACCAUGCCGGAGUAAUAGAAUAUGAGAAGGAGAACAUGGUGACAUGGGGUUGGCAGUGAUGAAUCCUCCUAGCGUGGUAGCCUCGUCAGCCCUAAGGCAAGAACACAGGUGGCGCUGCCCUCCAAGCUCCUCAUCAUCCCCUCUUUUGAACGCUUGGAGGAGCAGCAGCGCAGCACAGCACUCACCCACUCUGCUUCAGCUCCGGUAUUGACAUGACACUCGAAAGUCCAACCAGAAGCCUAUAUAAACAAUAGUGGCGAUGUGAUCUUUUUUAGUCGCCUCCCCCUCCCCUGUUUCUUCUUUUGCAGCAGCCCAUGCCCCACCGAACUCAGCAUCUCCACCAAUGAUCCACCCUCACUGUAAUUAAUAGAUUUCUACUGCCAAAAGAACAGGAAAGCUGCAGUGACAUGGUGCUUGAUGAUGAUGAUGAUGAUGACGAUACUUGGUUUUCCCUCUAUAUUUUUGCAUGUGGGAGUUCUUUCGACCAUUCCAGCAAAUUGAGUACUUAGAAGAGCACCACAAGUUCCAAGAUUUAAUGGUGAGUUCCAGUUGGUGGAGGAGGUACAGGGAUGAUAAGGUUGUUUACUUCACAGGCAUCUCAUGAUGGUGCUCUAAGCUUUUACCAUUUUGUUGAACUAUCGGUGUAUCAUUAGGAGGACAGCUUUGGGAAUGCUUAAAUAGUCAGCUGCCAUGGGAGUUAUCAAAGAAGACGAGUAGGAAGAGUACUUCUGCAAUCACAUGCAGUACUUGUGCAACUUCACUUGAAGAUGGUGACAUUUGCGUGCUGGAUUCUGCAUGUACCUCUACUCGAGAAGUCCCAUCUGCUCUCCGAUGGGAACUGCGUAUCCUUGGGAAGAAAUGACCCUCUCAGGGUUACCAAGAUGGACAUAUUAGAUUCAUGUAUAUUCUCAAACCAUACAUCAGAUUAGAAUAGGAAAAGAAGGAAGGAAAUAGAGAAGGUUUUAAGGUCAAAGACACAAGAAUUUGUGCACUCAUUACACAUAGGAAAUGAGAUGAUCUGUUUCAGAA
Molecule: long non-coding RNA, 3154 nt
Organism: Musa acuminata AAA Group (dessert banana)
Lineage: Eukaryota; Viridiplantae; Streptophyta; Magnoliopsida; Zingiberales; Musaceae
Exons: 6
Source: RefSeq, a predicted model, not a curated record